RNAcentral lists this long non-coding RNA (907 nucleotides) under Chelonoidis abingdonii (Abingdon island giant tortoise). RNAcentral describes it as "lncRNA (ENSCABG00000015843.1)". Lineage: Eukaryota; Metazoa; Chordata; Testudines; Testudinidae. The record is from RNAcentral.
CUGCCGAUGGGUCCGAGUUGCCCCCCCGGAUCCGGGCGGGGCUGGUGGGGGCUGUGCAGGGCCGCGGGGGGUAACUGCAGAUGGGUCCGAGGUGCCCCCCCCCCCGGGGCUGGAGCUGCCAGCACCGAGGCGAGGCGCGGCGCAAACAUUGCGCAAUUCUCCAGCUUUCGCUUUCGCUGCGUCCUGUGCAGGGGCGGGAGGGCAGCUCGGCCCUGCAGCUCCCCCGGCUCACAGCCUCCUCCCCCCAGCUGGCAUGUUCCUCGUCUCCACCAACCCCUUCACAGUGACCAGGCUCCUGGGCUCCGACGUGCUCCUGACAUGCAGCUUCCCCGCGGCCCCGUAUGGAGCGAGGGACCGGAUGCUGCUGGUCAGCUGGUACUUCCAGGAGAGGAGAGUGGCUGAGUUGGACACAUCCCCAUCAGCACCCAGCGCUGCCGCAGGUCGAGGUGCCCAGCCCAGUGGUGCAGAGGGACGAGGACAGCGCCCUGGUGUGCUGCGUGCGGGGGUUUUACCCCCAGCACAUCGCAGUGUCCUGGCUCCGGGACGGGCAGGAGCUAAACGCCUCCUUCAUCUCUGCCAUGCGCCGGGGGCACCGGGAUGGGACCUUCAGCCUGGUAACUGUCUACAGCUUCACCCCCAUGGAGCGGGAUCUGGGGGAUCUAUUCUCCUGCCGGGCACAGCACCCUCUGCUGAACCAGUCCCGCCAGGCCGACUUCCGGAUUGCCUUCAGGGCUGGCGGCCUGGAGAUGGGGCUCAGAGUCCUGCUGUGGAUGCUGCGAGUGUCACUGCUGCUGGCCGUGGCCAUGGGGGGCUGGCUCUGCUGUGACACCAACAGCCGACCGAGGAAGGUGAGGGCUGAGUUUGCCCAGUGGGUGCCUGUGAUGGAGUAGGGGCUGUCUGUGUGGGG